This 497-nucleotide ribosomal RNA is filed under the name uncultured bacterium. RNAcentral's name for it is "partial 16S ribosomal RNA". It matches the Rfam family "Bacterial small subunit ribosomal RNA", at positions 28 to 507 of the family's 1533-position model. The record is from RNAcentral.
GAUGAACGCUGGCGGCGUGCCUAAUACAUGCGAGUCGAGCGAACGGACGAGAAGCUUGCUUCUCUAAUGUUAGCGGCGGACGGGUGAGUAACACGUGGAUAACCUACCUAUAAGACUGGGAUAACUUCGGGAAACCGUAGCUAAUACCGGAUAAUAUUUUGAACCGCAUGGUUCAAAAGUGAAAGACGGUCUUGCUGUCACUUAUAGAUGGAUCCGCGCUGCAUUAGCUAGUUGGUAAGGUAACGGCUUACCAAGGCAACGAUGCAUAGCCGACCUGAGAGGGUGAUCGGCCACACUGGAACUGAGACACGGUCCAGACUCCUACGGGAGGCAGCAGUAGGGAAUCUUCCGCAAUGGGCGAAAGCCUGACGGAGCAACGCCGCGUGAGUGAUGAAGGUCUUCGGAUCGUAAAACUCUGUUAUUAGGGAAGAACAUAUGUGUAAGUAACUGUGCACAUCUUGACGGUACCUAAUCAGAAAGCCACGGCUAACUACGUG